GACGAACGCUGGCGGCGUGCUUAACACAUGCAAGUCGAACGAAAAGGCCCCUUUGGGGGUACUCGAGUGUCGAACGGGGGAGUAACACGUAAGUAACCUUCCCUUGACUUCGGGACAACUUCAGGUAACUGGGGCUAAUACCGGAUAGGAAUCCUUGCUGCAUGGGGGGGGUUGGAAAGCUUCGGCGGUUUUGGAUGGAUUCGCGGCUUAUCCGCUUGUUGGUGGGGUAGUGGCUUACCAAGGCUUUUACGGGUAGCCGGCCUGUGUGGGCGACCGGCCAUAUUGAGACUGAGGUACGGCACAGAUUGCGACGGGAGGCAGCAGGGCGGAAUAUUGCAGAAGGGGCGCAAGCCUGAUGCAGAAGCGCCGCGUGCGGGAUGACGGCCUUAGGGUUGAAAACCGCUUUCAGCAGGAGCGAAGCAUGUGGUGACGGUACCUGCAGAAGAAGCACCGGCUAACUACGUG
RNAcentral lists this ribosomal RNA (465 nucleotides) under uncultured bacterium. RNAcentral describes it as "partial 16S ribosomal RNA". It matches the Rfam family "Bacterial small subunit ribosomal RNA", at positions 28 to 507 of the family's 1533-position model. The record is from RNAcentral.